AACGCACAUUGCGCCCACUGGUACUCCGGUGGGCAUGCCUGUCCGAGCGUCAUUCACACCCCUCGGCUUAGGCCGGUGUUGGGCCCGCCCAAGCGGCGGCCCGCAAAGCAGCGGCCCGGGCGCCGUCGGUCACGGUUGACAGGAGUCUCCCACGGCGGACGUCCGGCGCAGAAGCAUGAACCUUUGACCUCGGAUCAGGUAGGGAUACCCGCUGAACUUAA
This 221-nucleotide unclassified non-coding RNA is filed under the name Yamadazyma sp. Its description in RNAcentral is "partial contains 5.8S ribosomal RNA, internal transcribed spacer 2, and large subunit ribosomal RNA". The stretch from base 1 to 52 matches the Rfam family "5.8S ribosomal RNA", at positions 103 to 154 of the family's 154-position model. The record is from RNAcentral. Lineage: Eukaryota; Fungi; Ascomycota; Pichiomycetes; Serinales; Debaryomycetaceae.